AAGUCGUAACAAGGUUUCCGUAGGUGAACCUGCGGAAGGAUCAUUAACAAAUUUAUGUUUUUUUAACAUAAAAAAAAAACAUAUAACACUUGUGCAACGAAUAACGUCUCUGGCAGAUUGUUCUUUUCUUUUUUUUUUCUUUUUUGAUUUCUUCUAAGAAAAAAGAAGGUCUUUCUUUUUUUUUUGGAAUGAAAGUUAAGGAAGAAUUAAAAGAAAAAGACACUGCCGUUUGACUUUUUUACACAUUUGUGUGUUUAAUUAAUACUGUCAAAUAUUUCAAAUUUAUUAUUAAAUUUAAUAAAUAACUUUUGGCAACGGAUCUCUUGGUUCUC
Molecule: unclassified non-coding RNA, 332 nt
Filed under: fungal sp.
Lineage: Eukaryota; Fungi
Description: partial internal transcribed spacer region
Rfam family: Eukaryotic small subunit ribosomal RNA (bases 1-46)
Source: RNAcentral